UACAGAGGUCUCGAGCGUUAGGCGGAAUCACUGGGCUUAAAGCGUGUGUAGGCGGAUUGCUAAGUACCUUGUGAAAUCCCACGGCUUAACCGUGGAACUGCUUCGUAUACUGGCUGUCUUGAGCCACUUAGGGGCAACCGGAACAAACGGUGGAGCGGUGAAAUGCGUAGAUAUCGUUUGGAACGCCAAUGGUGAAAACAGGUUGCUGGGAGUGUGCUGACGCUGAGACACGAAAGCCAGGGGAGCAAACGGG
RNAcentral lists this ribosomal RNA (253 nucleotides) under uncultured bacterium. Its description in RNAcentral is "partial 16S ribosomal RNA". It matches the Rfam family "Bacterial small subunit ribosomal RNA", at positions 524 to 776 of the family's 1533-position model. The record is from RNAcentral.